Molecule: ribosomal RNA, 425 nt
Filed under: uncultured bacterium
Lineage: Bacteria
Description: partial 16S ribosomal RNA
Rfam family: Bacterial small subunit ribosomal RNA
Source: RNAcentral
GUGGGGAAUCUUAGACAAUGGGCGCAAGCCUGAUCUAGCCAUGCCGCGUGAGUGAUGAAGGCCCUAGGGUUGUAAAGCUCUUUCAGCUGGGAAGAUAAUGACGGUAACCGGAGAAGAAGCCCCGGCUAACUUCGUGCCAGCAGCCGCGGUAAUACGAAGGGGGCUAGCGUUGUUCGGAAUUACUGGGCGUAAAGCGCACGUAGGCGGACAUUUAAGUCAGGGGUGAAAUCCCGGGGCUCAACCCCGGAACUGCCUUUGAUACUGGGUGUCUGGAGUAUGGAAGAGGUAAGUGGAAUUCCGAGUGUAGAGGUGAAAUUCGUAGAUAUUCGGAGGAACACCAGUGGCGAAGGCGGCUUACUGGUCCAUUACUGACGCUGAGGUGCGAAAGCGUGGGGAGCAAACAGGAUUAGAUACCCGUGUAGUCC